Molecule: non-coding RNA, 894 nt
Organism: Paramuricea clavata
Lineage: Eukaryota; Metazoa; Cnidaria; Anthozoa; Malacalcyonacea; Plexauridae
Source: the annotation of a GenBank genome assembly
AAGUAGCUCAAAAGUUGUUGUAUAGUAAAGCAUUGGGGGCAUACCACAGUAUAUUUAAAAACUUUUCAAAUUUGGAUAGUGUCCCAGUUAAAGUACUUUUAAAACUUUUCUCGGCUCUGGUUUCUCCGAUAUUGUUGUACUGCGUCGAAGUAUGGGGAGUUCAAUUACUAGGAAGUUUAACAAAUAUUGAAAUGUUUAAGAAAAAGUUUUUUAGUACGAUUUCGGAUAUUGAAAAGUUGCAUAUAAAGUUUUGUAAACGGAUUCUGGAAGUCCAUUCCAAAUCUACCAAUCUAGCAGCAAUUGCUGAACUAGGAAGAUACCCAAUGAUUAUCCAGGUUUCCACAUUAGCCAUCAAGUAUUGGUUAAGAAUAAAUAGUCCAAUGUAUGAAAACCAGUUCGUGGGUAUAGCAGCACGUGUAUGCAUUCAAUCAUGUUGUCCGAUUGCAAAAUUCAACGAUUUUUUGUUAGAGAUGUGUAACUUUAAUCCUUUAAAAAAUACUACAAUUUGGAAGAAGAGUGAUAUUAAUAAUGUAGUCAAAAGUAUCAAAAACGAGUUAUGUGAAAGAUUUAAUAUCAUGUGGAAAGUUCAGAUUCAACAACUCAGUAAAUUGCAAGUUUUCAAUCUUGUAAAACCUAGUAUAGAAUUUGAAAGCUAUUUAUCUCAAGUUAAAAUUGUGAAGCACCGUCAAGCAGUGACUAGGUUUAGGAUAUCCGCUCAUAAGUUACCAAUUGAAACUGGACGAUAUGCGAAUAUUGAACACGAUUUACGUCUAUGUCCAAUUUGUAACUCGAAUGAGAUUGGGGACGAAUAUCACUACUUUUCACAUUGUAGUAACAAAAGGUUAGAAAGACUGCGAGAAAAUUUUUUAAAUGAGUUAGUUGAUUAUAACAGCA